This 497-nucleotide ribosomal RNA is filed under the name uncultured bacterium. RNAcentral's name for it is "partial 16S ribosomal RNA". It matches the Rfam family "Bacterial small subunit ribosomal RNA", at positions 28 to 507 of the family's 1533-position model. The record is from RNAcentral.
GAUGAACGCUGGCGGCGUGCCUAAUACAUGCAAGUCGAGCGAACAGACGAGGAGCUUGCUCCUCUGACGUUAGCGGCGGACGGGUGAGUAACACGUGGAUAACCUACCUAUAAGACUGGGAUAACUUCGGGAAACCGGAGCUAAUACCGGAUAAUAUAUUGAACCGCAUGGUGCAAUAGUGAAAGACGGUUUUGCUGUCACUUAUAGAUGGAUCCGCGCCGCAUUAGCUAGUUGGUAAGGUAACGGCUUACCAAGGCAACGAUGCGUAGCCGACCUGAGAGGGUGAUCGGCCACACUGGAACUGAGACGCGGUCCAGACUCCUACGGGAGGCAGCAGUAGGGAAUCUUCCGCAAAGGGCGAAAGCUUGACGGAGCAACGCCGCGUGAGUGAUGAAGGUCUUCGGAUCGUAGAACUCUGUUAUUAGGGAAGAACAAAUGUGUAAGUAACUAUGCACGUCUUGACGGUACCUAAUCAGAAAGCCACGGCUAACUACGUG